This 887-nucleotide long non-coding RNA is filed under the name Homo sapiens (human). RNAcentral describes it as "non-protein coding lnc-AGER-2:2". The record is from RNAcentral. Lineage: Eukaryota; Metazoa; Chordata; Mammalia; Primates; Hominidae.
GAUCCCCGUCCCACCUUCUCCUGUAGCUUCAGCCCAGGCCUUCCCCGACACCGGGCCUUGCGCACAGCCCCCAUCCAGCCCCGUGUCUGGGGUGAGCAUAGGUGGGGAGGGCCCCAAGCUCACGUGAGCACGUUCUGGAAGUCUGACCCUUAGGGAAAGAGGGAGUCAAGCCCAUGGCCACUGGGAUCACUCACAAGUGUAACUCUCCACCUCAAAACCCUUCCAACUCCCAGAGCCUGUGCCUCUGGAGGAGGUCCAAUUGGUGGUGGAGCCAGAAGGUGGAGCAGUAGCUCCUGGUGGAACCGUAACCCUGACCUGUGAAGUCCCUGCCCAGCCCUCUCCUCAAAUCCACUGGAUGAAGGAUGGUGUGCCCUUGCCCCUUCCCCCCAGCCCUGUGCUGAUCCUCCCUGAGAUAGGGCCUCAGGACCAGGGAACCUACAGCUGUGUGGCCACCCAUUCCAGCCACGGGCCCCAGGAAAGCCGUGCUGUCAGCAUCAGCAUCAUCGAACCAGGCGAGGAGGGGCCAACUGCAGGUGAGGGGUUUGAUAAAGUCAGGGAAGCAGAAGAUAGCCCCCAACACAUGUGACUGGGGGGAUGGUCAACAAGAAAGGAAUGGAAGGCCCCAGAAAACCAGGAGGAAGAGGAGGAGCGUGCAGAACUGAAUCAGUCGGAGGAACCUGAGGCAGGCGAGAGUAGUACUGGAGGGCCUUGAGGGGCCCACAGACAGAUCCCAUCCAUCAGCUCCCUUUUCUUUUUCCCUUGAACUGUUCUGGCCUCAGACCAACUCUCUCCUGUAUAAUCUCUCUCCUGUAUAACCCCACCUUGCCAAGCUUUCUUCUACAACCAGAGCCCCCCACAAUGAUGAUUAAACACCUGACACAUCUUGC